AUUUAAUUUUCUCAUGGUUUCAGGGAAUUCAGACCACGGUCAGCUGUCUCCAAGGCAGUGACAUCAUAGCAGAAGGGAGUGGUGGAACAAAUAUACUUAGCUCAUGUUGGUCAAGAAGCAGAACAGGAGAACAACGCCAGAAAGGAAGAGGCUAGGGAGCAAGAUGAUGAUUCCAUGACACCCCCCAGAUCCCCCCAGCAGCAGUGUGCUUUACUGCUACCCUAUGCAGCUCCCAAGCCAAUCACACUGACACAAUUAAGUUGGACCACUACCCUUUGCAUGGAUGAAAUCUGGCAAAGAGAUUUGAAAAGCUUUCAAAUUUUGUAG
RNAcentral lists this long non-coding RNA (327 nucleotides) under Fukomys damarensis (Damara mole-rat). Its description in RNAcentral is "lncRNA (ENSFDAG00000027850.1)". Lineage: Eukaryota; Metazoa; Chordata; Mammalia; Rodentia; Bathyergidae. The record is from RNAcentral.